RNAcentral lists this ribosomal RNA (772 nucleotides) under Chromohalobacter israelensis. RNAcentral describes it as "bacterial SSU rRNA". It matches the Rfam family "Bacterial small subunit ribosomal RNA", at positions 43 to 814 of the family's 1533-position model. Lineage: Bacteria; Pseudomonadati; Pseudomonadota; Gammaproteobacteria; Oceanospirillales; Halomonadaceae. The record is from RNAcentral.
CGCGCUAUAUACAGUCGAGCGGAACGAUCCUAGCUUGCUAGGAGGCGUCGAGCGGCGGACGGGUGAGUAACGCAUAGGAAUCUGCCCGGUAGUGGGGGAUAACCUGGGGAAACCAGGCUAAUACCGCAUACGUCCUACGGGAGAAAGCAGGGGAUCUUCGGACCUUGCGCUAUCGGAUGAGCCUAUGUCGGAUUAGCUGGUUGGUGAGGUAAUGGCUCACCAAGGCGACGAUCCGUAGCUGGUCUGAGAGGAUGAUCAGCCACAUCGGGACUGAGACACGGCCCGAACUCCUACGGGAGGCAGCAGUGGGGAAUAUUGGACAAUGGGCGCAAGCCUGAUCCAGCCAUGCCGCGUGUGUGAAGAAGGCCUUCGGGUUGUAAAGCACUUUCAGUGGGGAAGAAUCCUCGGGGCUAAUACCCUCGAGGGAGGACAUCACCCACAGAAGAAGCACCGGCUAACUCCGUGCCAGCAGCCGCGGUAAUACGGAGGGUGCGAGCGUUAAUCGGAAUUACUGGGCGUAAAGCGCGCGUAGGCGGCCUGAUAAGCCGGUUGUGAAAGCCCCGGGCUCAACCUGGGAACGGCAUCCGGAACUGUCAGGCUAGAGUGCAGGAGAGGAAGGUAGAAUUCCCGGUGUAGCGGUGAAAUGCGUAGAGAUCGGGAGGAAUACCAGUGGCGAAGGCGGCCUUCUGGACUGACACUGACGCUGAGGUGCGAAAGCGUGGGUAGCAAACAGGAUUAGAUACCCUGGUAGUCCACGCCGUAAACGAUGUCG